This 1436-nucleotide long non-coding RNA is filed under the name Oryctolagus cuniculus (rabbit). Its description in RNAcentral is "lncRNA (ENSOCUG00000037675.1)". Lineage: Eukaryota; Metazoa; Chordata; Mammalia; Lagomorpha; Leporidae. The record is from RNAcentral.
GUGGCUCCGGGGUCCUCGCGGCCCGAUGGGGGUGGGGUCCCUGGGAGUCUCUGUUCCUGCUGCUCGUCACCCACUGAGAACGAGCACUUGUUCAGAACGAAUCCGGGGCUGGCGGUGACCGUGGCCCCCUGUGGAGAGGACGUCUGGCCUUGUCCAGCAGCCUUGGCCUCCCCGUCGCGCUCGCCUUCUGAGUGCAGGCACAGCUCCCCGCCCCCCCACCCCCCGUGCCGGGGCUGCCUCCCCUCCCGUCCUGGCUCCACGGAACAGGGUAACCUGGGCCCCCAGCCCAUCCCCGCCCUCCUCCUCGUCCACCUUCUCCUGGGGGUCUGCAGGCCCCUGCCGCCGCGGCCCUGGUACUUCCCGGUCUGCCUGUUCGGUCCCACAUGGGUGCUGUGCCCCGUCCCCAGUGCCGCGUCCCACGGUGAGCACCAGGGCUUCUCCCUUCACGCCCGGCUGCCGCCACCCCCUGCUGGGCCACCCUCCCAUUCGGCCGCUCAGCAGCUGCCGCUCAGCCCUGGAGAGUCCAGUGUCCCCACCGCGGCCUCUUUGGUCCCCUCGUCAUCUGGCCUCCCAUUCCCCGUCCACUCCGUCCCCGGCUCCUUGCUUUCGGCUGCUGAGGCUGCGCCCUGCCUGCCGCCACCUCCCCCACCUGCGCCCACACCUAGGAAGGACCCUCCCCAGGGCCAGGCAGUCAGCGAGCGGUUCAGACGACUGCCCCACGUUGGCGCUCCUGGGCUCAGCCGCUGGCUGUGCACCCUGGGGGCGCUGGCGAGGGCUCAGCCGACACGUGGGAGAACGGGGUUGAGUCCUUGGCACCGGCUUUGGCCCCUGCUCCUCCCCGUCUGUUGCAGGUGUUUGCAGACUGAACCCGUAGGUACAAACUCUUUCUUUUUCCUCUCAACUAAAAGCAGAAGGCCGUCCUUCAUCUCUCAACGUGUCAGUUACGUGCUGCCUUGCGCGCAAGGACCCAGAACACAAGCACGCAUGGUAGCCUCACCUGGUUCUGUGGGCCGGGUGCCGGGAGAGGCUUGGCUCUGUCUGACGACUCGGCCCGGGCCAGCACCGCCUGCAGGAUCCACUUCCAAGACGGCCCCCGCGUUGCCUGGUGAUCUGAGGGCGGCUCUCGGUGGGCCCUCUCCACAGGGAGGCGGGGGUGCCUGUGACAGUAAGCCACAGGAAUGAGCCGGGGCAGCGGUGGCACGGCGCCCUAGCCUCAGAAUCUCACCGCGUCCUUCCCACGGUACCGUGCUGGUCCCACGCACCAUCCCACGCGUGUCCCGAGAGCUGAGGCCCCGGGGUGUCCCUGGGGCUCUGCCUCACCACACCACACGCCCCUGGACUCUGUCCCUGGACCCUGCCCCUGGACUCUGCCCCUGGACUCUGCGCCUGCCUGGCUUUUCUGUCAGCCCCAUACCCACCUGGCUCAUAACGUCCCU